GACAAACGCUGGCGGCGUGCUUAACACAUGCAAGUCGAACGGAAAGGCCCUGCUUUUGUGGGGUGCUCGAGUGGCGAACGGGUGAGUAACACGUGAGUAACCUGCCCUUGACUUUGGGAUAACCUCAGGAAACUGGGGCUAAUACCGGAUAGGAGCUCCUGCUGCAUGGUGGGGGUUGGAAAGCUUCGGCGGUUGGGGAUGGACUCGCGGCUUAUCAGCUUGUUGGUGGGGUAGUGGCUUACCAAGGCUUUGACGGGUAGCCGGCCUGAGAGGGUGACCGGCCACAUUGGGACUGAGAUACGGCCCAGACUCCUACGGGAGGCAGCAGUGGGGAAUAUUGCACAAUGGGCGGAAGCCUGAUGCAGCAACGCCGCGUGCGGGAUGACGGCCUUCGGGUUGUAAACCGCUUUCGCCUGUGACGAAGCGUGAGUGACGGUAAUGGGUAAAGAAGCACCGGCUAACUACGUGCCAGCAGCCGCGGUGAUACGUAGGGUGCGAGCGUUGUCCGGAUUUAUUGGGCGUAAAGGGCUCGUAGGUGGUUGAUCGCGUCGGAAGUGUAAUCUUGGGGCUUAACCCUGAGCGUGCUUUCGAUACGGGUUGACUUGAGGAAGGUAGGGGAGAAUGGAAUUCCUGGUGGAGCGGUGGAAUGCGCAGAUAUCAGGAGGAACACCAGUGGCGAAGGCGGUUCUCUGGGCCUUUCCUGACGCUGAGGAGCGAAAGCGUGGGGAGCGAACAGGCUUAGAUACCCUGGUAGUCCACGCUGUAAACGGUGGGUACUAGGUGUGGGGUCCAUUCCACGGGUUCCGUGCCGUAGCUAACGCUUUAAGUACCCCGCCUGGGGAGUACGGCCGCAAGGCUAAAACUCAAAGGAAUUGACGGGGCCCCGCACAAGCGGCGGAGCAUGCGGAUUAAUUCGAUGCAACGCGUAGAACCUUACCUGGGUUUGACAUGGAUCGGGAGUGCUCAGAGAUGGGUGUGCCUCUUUUGGGGUCGGUUCACAGGUGGUGCAUGGCUGUCGUCAGCUCGUGUCGUGAGAUGUUGGGUUAAGUCCCGCAACGAGCGCAACCCUUGUUCACUGUUGCCAGCACGUUAUGGUGGGGACUCAGUGGAGACCGCCGGGGUCAACUCGGAGGAAGGUGGGGAUGACGUCAAGUCAUCAUGCCCCUUAUGUCCAGGGCUUCACGCAUGCUACAAUGGCUGGUACAGAGAGUGGCGAGCCUGUGAGGGUGAGCGAAUCUCGGAAAGCCGGUCUCAGUUCGGAUUGGGGUCUGCAACUCGACCUCAUGAAGUCGGAGUCGCUAGUAAUCGCAGAUCAGCAACGCUGCGGUGAAUACGUUCCCGGGGCU
RNAcentral lists this ribosomal RNA (1346 nucleotides) under uncultured bacterium. RNAcentral describes it as "partial 16S ribosomal RNA". It matches the Rfam family "Bacterial small subunit ribosomal RNA", at positions 28 to 1381 of the family's 1533-position model. The record is from RNAcentral.